This 214-nucleotide ribosomal RNA is filed under the name Glossina pallicera pallicera. Its description in RNAcentral is "partial 16S ribosomal RNA". The record is from RNAcentral. Lineage: Eukaryota; Metazoa; Arthropoda; Insecta; Diptera; Glossinidae.
CGUAAGCCAGGUUGGUUUCUAUCUUUAAUAUAUUAUAAUAUUUUAGUACGAAAGGACCAAAUAUUAAGUAAAUAAUUAUUUUAAUUUUGAAUAAUAUUAACUAUUUUGGCAGAAAAGUGUAAUAAAUUUAGAAUUUAUGAAUGUAAUAAUUUACAAAUAGUAUUGUAUUUAUUUGAGAUUAUUUUAUUUAUUAUUAGAAGUAUACUAUUAAUUA